RNAcentral lists this ribosomal RNA (116 nucleotides) under Pteropus alecto (black flying fox). The record is from RNAcentral. Lineage: Eukaryota; Metazoa; Chordata; Mammalia; Chiroptera; Pteropodidae.
GUGUACAGCCAUGGCACCCUGAACAAGCCCGAUGUCUGAUCUUGGAAGCUAAGCAGGGUCGGGCCCAGUUAGUACUUAGAUGGGAGACCACCUAGGAAGACCAGGUACUGUAAGUA